RNAcentral lists this ribosomal RNA (1966 nucleotides) under Fidelibacterota bacterium. Its description in RNAcentral is "partial 23S ribosomal RNA". It matches the Rfam family "Archaeal large subunit ribosomal RNA", at positions 20 to 2074 of the family's 2987-position model. Lineage: Bacteria; Pseudomonadati; Fidelibacterota. The record is from RNAcentral.
GACUGGGGGAUGGCUCGGCUCGAGAGCUGAUGAAGGUCGUGACAAGCUGCGAUAAGCUACGGGGAGGCGCAUGAAUGCCUUGGAUCCGUAGAUGGCCGAAUAGGACCUCCUGGCUUUACGAAGUCAUUCCCGUAUUAAUUUACUGGAAAGGGAACCGCCCGAAUUGAAGCAUCUUAGUAGGGCGAGGAACAGAAAUCAAACGAGAUUCCGUUAGUAGUGGCGAAUGAACACGGAAUAGAACAAACCGAAUCCGCUUGGGAAACCUUGUGGAGAUGUGGGGUAUGGAUCACCUAUCGUCUAAAUUCACGAAGCAGAAGUCGAUCUGGAACGACGUACCAUAGAGGGUGAAAGUCCCGUAUGUGUAGUGAACAUGACCAAGUGGUGAAUCCUGAGUAGCGUGCGUUGGAUAUCGCGCGUGAAUAUGGGAGGCAUAAACUUCCAAUUCUAAAUACAACUCGAGACCGAUAGUAGACCAGUAGUGUGAACGAAAGUUGAAAAGUAUCCUGAGAGGGAUGUGAAAAGAACCUGAAACCAGUUAGGGACAGACUGAAUAGGCGUGAAAGCGAAGAUAUGAGCAGCGUCUAUUCGUGCGUUUCGAAUAAUGCCCCUGGGAGUCUUGAUCAUUGGCGAGGUUAAGCAGUUGAUCUGCGAAGCCGUAGGGAAACCGACAAGUCCGCAGCCCGUAAGGGUGAGGGACGAGAUGUGCUCGUCUGAAGUCAAUGGUGGAGGACCUGAAGCCUAUCGAUCUAUGCCUGGCCAGAUUGAAGCCCGAUGAAAGUUGGGUGGAGGAUCGAACCGUUGCUGAUGUGCAAAUCGCUCGGACGAGUUGGGUAUAGGGGUGAAAGUCCAAUCGAGAUGGGCAAUAGCAGGUUCCGCGCGAGACUACUCGUAGGUAGACCUCUGUGGAGAUAGAUUGUGCUGUAGAGCACUGAUUGGGUAUUUAGGGGGAGCGAUCCCUCGGUAUGCUGUCAAACUCCGAAGGUGCAAUCAUUGUAGAAACAGGGAGUGAGUCGCGGUGGGUAAGCUACCGUGACGAAAGGAGAACAGUCCAGCCUAGCGUUAAGGUCCCAAAGUACUAACUAAGUGUCAAAGACAAACCGUGUCCGUGGUCGAAAACAACCAGAAGGUGGGCUUAGAAGCAGCCAUCCUUGAAAGAGUUCGUAACAGAUCACUGGUCAAGCUUGCGGGCCGGGAAAAGGGACGGGGCUAAAGUUAGUCACCGAUACGCUAGACCAGCGAAAGCUGAUGUGGUAGCGCGGCGACAUGUUCGGGUAGAAGGUAGGCCUUGAGGUCUACUGGACCGUAUAUGUAUGAGAAUCUAGGGAAAAGUAGCAGCAAAGAGUGGUGAGAAUCCGCUCCACCGGAGGGGCCAGGGUUCCUCGGCAAUGUUCAUCAGCCGAGGGUUAGCCGGUCCUAAGGUCAUUCUUAACCGAAAUGAUCGAAUAGGGAAAUGCGUUAAUAUUCGUAUGCCUCUGUGCAAUUAUGGUGACAGCUUGGGCUAGUCUUACAGGUCAUAUGUCAGGCCUGAAGAUUGUAUAAGGAAUUGGAGAACCGUCAUGGUGAGAAGAUUCCGAAAUCAAUUGACAAUAUAAGAUGACGCCUAGGCUCCGUGAAAAGCCGCACAGAAGACCGUACCUAGAACUGACACAGGUGCCCCUGGGUGAGUAGCCUAAGGUGUGACGGGAAAAAUACCGCGAGGGAACUCGGCAAAAUAGCUCCGUAACUUCGGGAGAAGGAGUGCCAGCUUAGAGAUAAGCUGGUCGCAGUGACCAGGGGUCUCCGACUGUUUAAUAAAAACAUAGGCGACUGCCAGUCCGAAAGGAUGAGUAUAGUCGCUGAAUCCUGCUCAGUGCCGGUAUCUGAAAUCGGGGUUCAACCUGACGAAGGACCGGUAAACAGCGGGGGUAACUAUGACCCUCUUAAGGUAGCGUAAUACCUUGUCGCUUAAUUGGCGACUUGCAUGAAU